UUCAAUAUGACUUGGUGCUCAACCACAUUC
This 30-nucleotide non-coding RNA is filed under the name Mus musculus (house mouse). Lineage: Eukaryota; Metazoa; Chordata; Mammalia; Rodentia; Muridae. The record is from RNAcentral.